GGUAGAGGGUGACUGCAUAAGACUCAUUUCCUUGUGAAAGCAAUCUAAAGAAAUUGCUAUAUUUGAGGUAAGAAUGCCUGACAAUGUAUUGCUCUUCUGAUUGUAGGUCACUUUCUCUUCACAGAAGAGGAGUUCAGGAAAUGAGAAUUCCCAGAGACAGACUACAGACAUUGCAAAAGUUGAUGGACGGAGCAGACAACAGGAUUAGGCCUGCUCAGCCCUGCUGCUGCCUUAGGUCACUGCUCAGAAAAAUGAAAGUCUAGAGCAUCCAAACAGUGCCCAUCUGAGUUCUCCCACCGCAGAAAGAACUAGAAGAGAGUUCUUGAGGAACAGAGGGAUCAUCAAAGAUUCAGAAUGGUUCUACAGGGUGAGUGACUCAGGGCGCAGAACUGCUGUGGUCAUUCUUUCCUGCCUCUACCUGCACUGUACUGGC
This 433-nucleotide long non-coding RNA is filed under the name Struthio camelus australis. Its description in RNAcentral is "lncRNA (ENSSCUG00000018535.1)". The record is from RNAcentral. Lineage: Eukaryota; Metazoa; Chordata; Aves; Struthioniformes; Struthionidae.